AGCUUACGUCGUCGUUUUGGCGUU
This 24-nucleotide non-coding RNA is filed under the name Arabidopsis thaliana (thale cress). The record is from RNAcentral. Lineage: Eukaryota; Viridiplantae; Streptophyta; Magnoliopsida; Brassicales; Brassicaceae.